AAGUCUAAGUAUAAGUUAUAUGAAUGACGAAACUGCGAAUGGCUCGGUAAAACAGCAUCAAUUUCUUCGAUGGUAACCUACUAUACGGAUAACCGUAGUAAAUCUAGAGCUAAUACGUGCCAUAAACGCGGGUGAUUUAUUUUACUCGUGGUGCUAAUUAGAUAACAACACCAACAUAUGGUGAUUCAUAAUUUUCUUUCUGAUCGUCGAGCAAUCGGCGACGCAUCGUUCAAAUUUCUGACCUAUCAACUUUAGAUGGUAAGGUAGUGACUUAUCAUGGUAACAACGGGUAACGGACCGUGGGUGCGGGACUCCGGAGAGGGAGCCUGAGAAACGGCUACCACAUCCAAGGAAGGCAGCAGGCGCGCAAAUUACCCAAUCCAGACUCUGGGAGGUAGUGACAAGAAAUAUCAAUAGGGGACCCUACGGGUCUUCUAAUUGGAAUGAGAACAAGCUAAACCGCUUAUCGAGAAUCCAGCAGAGGGCAAGUCUGGUGCCAGCAGCCG
Molecule: ribosomal RNA, 506 nt
Filed under: Mesophyllum sp. LMN1.4
Lineage: Eukaryota; Rhodophyta; Florideophyceae; Hapalidiales; Hapalidiaceae
Description: bacterial SSU rRNA
Rfam family: Eukaryotic small subunit ribosomal RNA
Source: RNAcentral